UACGAAGGGGGCUAGCGUUGCUCGGAAUUACUGGGCGUAAAGAGCUCGUAGGCGGCUUGUCACGUCGGGUGUGAAAGCCCGGGGCUUAACCCCGGGUCUGCAUUCGAUACGGGCAGGCUAGAGUGUGGUAGGGGAGAUCGGAAUUCCUGGUGUAGCGGUGAAAUGCGCAGAUAUCAGGAGGAACACCGGUGGCGAAGGCGGAUCUCUGGGCCAUUACUGACGCUGAGGAGCGAAAGCGUGGGGAGCGAACAGG
This 253-nucleotide ribosomal RNA is filed under the name uncultured bacterium. RNAcentral's name for it is "partial 16S ribosomal RNA". It matches the Rfam family "Bacterial small subunit ribosomal RNA", at positions 524 to 776 of the family's 1533-position model. The record is from RNAcentral.